This 491-nucleotide ribosomal RNA is filed under the name uncultured organism. RNAcentral describes it as "bacterial SSU rRNA". It matches the Rfam family "Bacterial small subunit ribosomal RNA", at positions 28 to 507 of the family's 1533-position model. The record is from RNAcentral.
GAUGAACGCUAGCUACAGGCUUAACACAUGCAAGUCGAGGGGCAGCAUUUUAGUUUGCUUGCAAACUGAAGAUGGCGACCGGCGCACGGGUGAGUAACACGUAUCCAACCUGCCGAUAACUCCGGAAUAGCCUUUCGAAAGAAAGAUUAAUACCGGAUAGUAUACGAAUAUCGCAUGAUAUUUUUAUUAAAGAAUUUCGGUUAUCGAUGGGGAUGCGUUCCAUUAGUUUGUUGGCGGGGUAACGGCCCACCAAGACUACGAUGGAUAGGGGUUCUGAGAGGAAGGUCCCCCACAUUGGAACUGAGACACGGUCCAAACUCCUACGGGAGGCAGCAGUGAGGAAUAUUGGUCAAUGGGCGAGAGCCUGAACCAGCCAAGUAGCGUGAAGGAUGAAGGCUCUAUGGGUCGUAAACUUCUUUUAUAUGGGAAUAAAGUUUUCCACGUGUGGAAUUUUGUAUGUACCAUAUGAAUAAGGAUCGGCUAACUCCGUG